RNAcentral lists this RNase P RNA (330 nucleotides) under uncultured Clostridium sp. RNAcentral's name for it is "Bacterial RNase P class A". It matches the Rfam family "Bacterial RNase P class A". Rfam says of the family: Ribonuclease P (RNase P) is a ubiquitous endoribonuclease, found in archaea, bacteria and eukarya as well as chloroplasts and mitochondria. The record is from RNAcentral. Lineage: Bacteria; Bacillati; Bacillota; Clostridia; Eubacteriales; Clostridiaceae.
AGUAAGCCAGACAAUCGCUGCUGAUUUAUCAGGAGAGGAAAGUCCGAGCUCCAUAGGGCAGGGUGCUGGGUAACUCCCAGUGGAGGUGACUCCAAGGAAAGUGCAACAGAGAUAUACCGCCCAUUAAUUUGGGUAAGGGUGGAAAGGCGAGGUAAGAGCUCACCAGCGCAAUGGCGACUUUGCGGCUAUGUAAACCCCAUCUGGAGCAAGAUCGAUAGAGAGACAUAUGAGGUUGCCCGUCUCGUCUCUGGGUGUAUCGCUGGAGCCCAUUAGUAAUAAUGGGCCUAGAUAGAUGAUUGUCAAAUACAGAACUCGGCUUAUAGACUUGUC